This 290-nucleotide long non-coding RNA is filed under the name Elaeis guineensis (African oil palm). RNAcentral describes it as "long non-coding RNA (EGUI_LNC025865)". The record is from RNAcentral. Lineage: Eukaryota; Viridiplantae; Streptophyta; Magnoliopsida; Arecales; Arecaceae.
AUACGAUUUGCGAGAUUGAGUUUAGAAAAUCUUUGACCAAAGCAAGUGUGAAUACUAGAAAAGAGUUUUCACGAAAUUCAUAAAUAAACUUGAGUCUAGUCAAUCUUACAUAUGACUAACAAUAGGAUCUGACGAGUUCUCCAUGAUCUUUGUCAAGUCGAGACUCAUGAUAGAAGGACUGAAUCAUAUGAUAACUAUACCUAAAGAUUCAUACUUUCAUUCUACUGGGUUGUUACUACAUACUGCUAGAUGUCACUGAUGGAUUGUGAGACUCAUCGGGUGUCGUCUUG